GGAGAGAUCGCAUAGUUGGUCUAGUGCGCUCGCUUGGAAAGCGGGUAUCGUCGCAAGAUGAUCGCGGGUUCGAAUCCCGCUCUCUCCG
Molecule: transfer RNA, 88 nt
Filed under: Patescibacteria group bacterium
Lineage: Bacteria
Description: tRNA-Ser
Rfam family: tRNA
About the family: Transfer RNA (tRNA) molecules are approximately 80 nucleotides in length. Their secondary structure includes four short double-helical elements and three loops (D, anti-codon, and T loops).
Source: RNAcentral